RNAcentral lists this ribosomal RNA (490 nucleotides) under uncultured bacterium. RNAcentral's name for it is "partial 16S ribosomal RNA". It matches the Rfam family "Bacterial small subunit ribosomal RNA", at positions 28 to 507 of the family's 1533-position model. The record is from RNAcentral.
GAUGAACGCUAGCUACAGGCUUAACACAUGCAAGUCGCGGGGCAGCAUGGGGGUUGCUUGCAAUCCCCGAUGGCGACCGGCGCACGGGUGAGUAACGCGUAUCCAACCUGCCCUUCACCACGGGAUAACCCGGCGAAAGUCGGACUAAUACCGUAUGUUGUCCAUUGACGGCAUCCGAUUUGGACGAAAGGUUUGGCGGUGAAGGAUGGGGAUGCGUCCGAUUAGCUGGACGGCGGGGUGACGGCCCACCGUGGCGACGAUCGGUAGGGGUUCUGAGAGGAAGGUCCCCCACACGGGAACUGAGACACGGUCCAGACUCCUACGGGAGGCAGCAGUGAGGAAUAUUGGUCAAUGGGCGUAAGCCUGAACCAGCCAAGUAGCGUGCAGGAUGACGGCCCUAUGGGUUGUAAACUGCUUUUAUGCGGGGAUAAAGUGGCCCACGUGUGGGUUUUUGCAGGUACCGCAUGAAUAAGGACCGGCUAAUUCCGUG